RNAcentral lists this ribosomal RNA (549 nucleotides) under Rhinatrema bivittatum (two-lined caecilian). Its description in RNAcentral is "partial 16S ribosomal RNA". It matches the Rfam family "Archaeal large subunit ribosomal RNA", at positions 1909 to 2666 of the family's 2987-position model. The record is from RNAcentral. Lineage: Eukaryota; Metazoa; Chordata; Amphibia; Gymnophiona; Rhinatrematidae.
GGCCUCUAGCAAACACUUCAUGUAUUAGAGGUACUGCCUGCCCAGUGAAAAUUAUUUUAACGGCCGCGGUAUUCUGACCGUGCAAAGGUAGCAUAAUCACUUGUCUUUUAAAUAAAGACCUGUAUGAACGGCAACACGAAGGCUUAACUGUCUCCUUUAUCUAAUCAGUGAAACUAGUUAUCCUGUACAAAAACAGGAAUACUCACACAAGACGAGAAGACCCUAUGGAGCUUUAAACGCACAGCCAACCUAACACACUUAACCAGUUAUUUGGCCUGUCGUUUUCGGUUGGGGCGACCACGGAGAACAAUACAUCCUCCGAGUACAUAUUAAUACAAUUAAUUAAACUAAGAACCACAUCACAAGGCACCAGAAAUUCUGAUUUAUUGACCCAAGAUUUGAUCAACGAACCAAGUUACCCUAGGGAUAACAGCGCAAUCCUAUUAGAGAGUCCAUAUCGAUAAUGGGGUUUACGACCUCGAUGUUGGAUCAGGAUCCCCAAACAGUGCAGCAGCUGUUAAAGGUUCUUUGUUCAACGAUUAAAAUCCU